Molecule: non-coding RNA, 935 nt
Organism: Cricetulus griseus (Chinese hamster)
Lineage: Eukaryota; Metazoa; Chordata; Mammalia; Rodentia; Cricetidae
Source: RefSeq, a predicted model, not a curated record
AUGUGUACAUUUGGUCAAGACAGUCUCCGCAGGAAGUGACGUAAGACCCCAAAAGACUCGCGUGAACUCCUAUACCAGCCCCAGCCUUACUUAGCUUGAGGAUGUGUUUGUUAUUCCUCUGAAAUGGAGACUCAGGGGAACUAUAACAGGAAGUAGCAUUGGCAUCCGAGCAGUACCCAGCCAGAAGCCCAUAAUGCCCUACUCUGGGGUACAUCCAGUUGCAAGGUGAAGUCUACCCCACCCCUCAGCAAAAUGCUAAGGUGAUGGAAUCCCGCUCCUGCAGAGGUGGAGCCAGGAUUUUCUCCAUUCUGAAUCACCAUGAAACUUGGAAUUGUGUCCUCAGUUUCUUCCACGGGCACAGAACACAGGUCCUAGCCCAGGAGGGCAUCUUGCUACAGAAUGCCUGAAACACCAGCUCUGGGCACUAUGGUGCAUCCCAGAGGGAACUUCCUCUUCUACCUGGAGACCACACACCCCUGAGCCUCAUCCUGCUGAACUGCCAUGAGGAGCUCCACCUUAGGACCACAAACCCCAUGCCUUUACUAUCCUGAUCCCUGGGGAGAAAGCAAGGGGGAGGGCUGGGGGGCUACAAGCUAGCCAUAGAAAACAAGAACUGGAUGAUUGAUUGUGUGCACCUGCUGAGAUGAACUGAAGGCAGCCAGUCCACCCUAGAAGCCCAGUACCAGGAACUGCACCAAGCUGCUGACCAAGUAGCUCAAUCUGAAGACUGGCUUUACAGCCCUGCUUAGCCUCCCUUUAGCUUCUAGGAGUACACAAGCAAGUUGGAAUGUUCUCAGUACUCUGAGCUGUGCAGAGGGUCCCAGGAGGCCCCAAGCAAAGCUGCAGCAGGAGCUGGACCACUAUGCUUGUUGAUGAGAGAUGUAGCAAGGGUCUGGAUAUACCUGCCAAGAUCAGCAGACUGCACCUAUUGGGAC